Gasterosteus aculeatus aculeatus (three-spined stickleback) is the source of this 35189-nucleotide long non-coding RNA. The record is from Ensembl. Lineage: Eukaryota; Metazoa; Chordata; Actinopteri; Perciformes; Gasterosteidae.
UAUAUAUAUUAUAUUAUAUUACUUCCGGUCUUUCGUUGUUCUUGGAAGUCAACAAAGUUGACCCCGAAAUCGAAACCGCCGCUAGCUGCAGUCAGUUAGAACAACCAGAGGCGCGACAUGCAGCGGAGAAACCUGCGCCUGUGGAGGACCACCACUGUGUCCCUAAAAGGCCGUGGUUUAGAAAAGUCCUGGCUAAAUGUGGGGAGAUUGUUGGCACUUCAAACAUAGCCGUCACAUGAUGGACAGGUGACAGCAAAGAGUACGAGGAGAGCAGGUAGAGUCGUUAGUUCAACAUGUUACACCCGGUGGAAUUCUGCCUUGUAGAUGGUAAAAUGUGUCUAGUUUUGUGUAUAAAAUAAAAUUAAACAGUGUCUAAAAUACACACUUUCUAAAGUGAUUACUCAUUACAUGUAAGAUUCCGUCACUAGAAGAAAAACAAACUUUUAAUCGCAAUAAAUCUUGAUUAAUUAUUUUUUAAAUGUGUGAUUAAUUAGUUAAUUUCUUUAAAUCUAUUGACAGGCCUAAUUUCAAGUCCUAAUUUACAAUAUAUCAACAUUUAACUGAACCAUAUAACUGGAAUGACUAAUAUAAAACAUUCUAAAAAAUGUAUAAUUAGUAUUAUUACACUGUUAUAUUUACCAUUAUUAUAUUACUACAUUAAAAAAAUAGCUUUGUCCUUUAUACUCGUGCCAACAUACUGUACAUUUCUGACAUUUGAAAACAAAAUGCUCAAUGCCAGUUUCAUUAGGUAAUCCUAACAGGGUAAAGUUAACUUUAACUGGAAGAAAUAUUUCAUGUGUAGUGGAGGAGAGUUAGAUUACAUUUAUAUCAUACUCAUUCCUGUACAUCAGAUACGUCGUUAAAGCCAGCUACCGGUUAGCUAAGGAUGUUAUAACAAACCAAAUGUAGCAAAUAUCAGCAACCAGCACCAACGCUAUUGUAGAAGUAAAAUAUGCAAAUGAAUUGGGGCUGUCAAUAGAUUAAAAAAAAGUACUAAUUAAUCGCACAUUUUGAAAUUCAUUAAUCUACUAGCAACUCUUCCUGCUGUACUCAAGCACUUUGCUCUCAACUCUCCAUCAUUUAACAGCUGUGUGUGAAGUGCUGUGUUUGAAUCUCCUCACAAUUAGCCAGGACGUUUCCAAACCACUUUUAGGGACACAGUGGUGGUCCUCUGCAGACUGUGUGCCGCGAAAGGUAAUGUAAGAUGUUGAGAUGGAAGGAGCCUAGCAGCUGGCUUAACAUAGCAGUGCUUUACGUGGUCCGUUUGCCACUCACCCCCCUUCUGUUUGACACGUGGAGUAAUUCCUCUGCUCAGUUCUCCGCUGUAUGUCGCACCUCUGUUUGUUUUACUUCCAAUGCAAAAAGCUCUCUCUAUCUAGAUGUAACUGACUGCAACUUGCGGCCUUGUCGUUUCCGCGGUCAACUUCCGGUAAACCGGAAGUAAACAAAUGAACGUUAACUACAUUAAACUAUUUUAUUUUUAUUUUGCAUUAAUCUAAGCUACAUUAAUCACAUAGAUUAAUGCGUUAAUGUUGACAGCCCUAAAAUUAAUUCAUACUCAUCUUUCAAAUGGUGUAAACUGUUUGAUUUUAUUUCCACUAUAUGACAAAGAAGUAAUUACACAACAACACAUUUCUGUGAACCAUUGCUGAUGGUCUCAAACCAGAUGCUGAUGAUACUAUGUAGUACCAUUCACCCAAGAUGUAUAUUAUUAUAACAUUUUAAUAGAAACAACAAUCAAAGAAAAUGAAAUUAACAAUUGGUCAAUGUAUUCAGCUUUUUUGCUGCAUCUGGUGCUUCGAAUCACUGAAUUUGCACUAAAAAGACAUGGCGAACUCUGGAAUAAGACAGCAGGUUCAAUGUAUGCGAUAAUGAAGGUUUUUACUCAUCCGUUUUUCAAAGUAUACAGAAUUUCCAUCACGCAUUGCCACCACAACAUUUAAGGUGGUAAAAGUGUUGUGCAUAAUAGAUUGCGCAAAGUUUCAUUUGAACAAUGCUCGGACUCAAAUAUUAUAAUAAACAGCAGCUGAACCCAGGUUGUGCAGGACAUGAAAUCCCUCAUCAAUGAUAAGAAGGAGACAGAAAGGAGAUUACGUCAACCCACAGGGAGCUAAACUGUAAGAUGAAGAGAAAGAGAAUCUGUGAGGACAUACAUCUUCGGGAGAAAAGAGGCAGGUUUAGAGUAGCAUCAGGGAGAUUAUUAACCAAAGUCACAAAAGACCCCGUCCUUCUCCCACCUGCGGUCCUGGUUGCCCUAUUUAUCACAGCCGUAGAUGGUUACAGCUUUCCAUUACAAAUGUUGUUUUUAAGAUGACAGCUUGAACGCUUCAGAGCAGCAUCUAAACUCAAAUCCUCCGGUAAACAGUACAUCAGUGAGAAUUCCAACGUGAAGUGGACUAACAAACUCAGUGGCCACUCAGUGUUCGCCGUCCCCGGAGCACAUUUUACAAAUACGGUCCAGAAAUGUUUUUUUUCUGUCUUUUCAUGUAGCUUUUGUCUUUUAGUUAUGUCCAAACACAACACAUGUGACCAAGUUAAAAGCUGAUGACCUGUUGUAUGAGCAUUAUUUUCUUGCAAAGGGAUGCAAGUAAAAAGGCAAAACUUUAUUCUGUACUCUCCCAAGACAACUCCUCUGAAGUUGGCCAUUCUCUAUAUCCUACCCUUUUUAGUCCCGACCUCUGCAUAUUCUUUUUUGCUCCAAGACCCACCAAAGCUCCCUUUGUGAGAGUUUAAUGAUGCAUGCAAAUGCAAAUAGCCCCGUGGACAUCUCUGAAUAUUGGUCCUGAACCCACAGGGAAUGAAUAGUGAACAGCGGAACAGCGAACAGACUUUUUCUACUUCUAAAGAGAAUCAUUUUUAACCCCUAUUCCCAGGUUGGAAAAUACAUACAUAAGAUGCGUUCCGCAGCAGAAACCAAUUACCCCUCCCUCACCCAUCCCUCUGCACAACAAACUCUUUUAUUGAUCUUGUGAUAAUUACCUCAGUCACAUCAUAAAGCACCUGGAACAGAUUGGUGGCUCAAAUUAUCGAUUAACCCUGGGCUACCCUUCGUCGUUCAUUGUACUGCCGCUGCUAUACAUUACUUGAUGAGAUCUGCUUUUCCGUGCUUUCCGGUGCAUUUUUCUUUGGCGCUGUGCGGGGAUACAUUGACAAAGAGGUUUAGUGUUGCAUGCAUGCUACCAAAGUCAUUUGUCAUCUCUUCUUAGUCUUUGGUUUAUUCUGUGUCCUGCCACCUCCAACCAAGGUUAACCCACAGCCGGCUGGAGCCAGCUCCUCCAAUCCAGCAACACAAAGACACUAGUUUAAUCUCUAACAGUUUUGGUCUUAAAAUGACCUAUUAUUUGUGGUCGUGACUUGGGGCCUAGCCUGGCAAUCACCAGCUGUGUCUAAUGCUUCAUUACACAACUUGCUCAAGGCGUGUGAGUGAAUGACCCUGAAACCUCUGCCCACUAGCCACCAGUACGUCCUCGACCACAGCCACAAUGACCAUGUGACCUCAACUGAGGCCAACACAUUUUGUCCGCAAUAAAUAAUGUGGGUGGAAUUUUAUUUCAGCUGUCCCAAUAUUUAUCAAAGCUUACUAGAAGGUGCAUGUAUUAUUUUACAAAUCUUGAUAUCUAUUAUAGAUCACAGUGGCUGACUGUCGUAAGUCUCACUCUGCUUGUUUCCGUUGAAAGGAGAAAGAGGAGACACACGGGAGAUGUUCUGCUUUUUUGCAGAGUUGGUCUUAACUUUGUGCUUGUCUGGAUAUCAAAAAAACAAUGGUGGCUCAUGGCAGGUCCCCAGAUUCAUCUUCCUUCAAACACAAUGCAAAUACAUCAGAAAGGGCUACAUGACUGUAAAGUCUGUGAAUGCAAAUAGUAAUUAUUCCCAUGAUAUGUAAAUAAUGUAUUUUUAUGUGCAUUGUGUGCAGUAAGAGCCACUGAACUAAUUCCUGGCUAAAGAGAGUGAUCACUGUGAUUUCUUGUGUAGGAUAACAUGAUUAUCUGAUGAAUAUUUUAUAAUAAAUAGCUAUUUAUCUGUGUCCUAAUGUCACCCUGACAAGUGUCCCUGAAAGACGCCAAAUGUAUUUCACUAUGCGAGCGUUAUCCUCAAUGCUUAUUCAAAACCAGAGUCACAUUGAGAACUGCCGCAUACUGUAUCAUCCAACACAAAACCACGUAAUUAGCUGCUAAGUUUAUGCAACCUCUAUGGAAACCGGCAUAGAACUCUAAUUGGACUGAAGUAAAAUAUGUUCCUGUAAGACCACUAGCUCAUUCACACUGUUUGUUCAGAAAUAAUGGAUAAUAUUAACCAACUGACAAGCAAUAUCAGGCAACAUGUACAAGCUUGUGUUGCUGAUUAAUCUAUCAACCUCCAUUCAUCAACUCUGAGUCUAUUUUCUCCUUCGACUUUGCAGCUCCUCAUAUUCAAUAUUGCAAUAGUUGGGGAGCAGGGGGUGUCGCCUGCCGGAAACAGUUUCUGAGGAUGGAAAGCUCACUUUAGCCAUCUGCAAAGAACCGAACCCAGCUCUGGGCAGGUGUUCAACGUGGUCAGGUGGAAAGCAGCUGACACAGAUAAUGCUCCCCUGCGCUAUUUGUCACUGUAAAUAACAAUUGUUUCUUCAAUAUUGGAAUUGGACAGGAGUGAGCACCCGGCUCGUCUUCCUCAUUCUGCUCUGAUAUGGGCAAUUAAAAAGAAAGGUCAUUGGUGGAAACAGAUGGCUAAAAUGUGAGCCGAGUCUGGAGGCUGAAAGAGACGAUUGGCCUUUUACAUGUAACUCCAUUCAAGCAGUUAGGAUACAUGGGAGACAGACAGCAAAUGGACAAAAAAGUUUUACUUAAGAAGAGUAUGUUUAUGCAAGAAUGUUUUUCAGAAACUAACGCAGGCUGAUUUUUGGUUUAAGCUUGGAAAUGCUCAUUUGUCAAUGAACAAUAACUAAUGUGCCGCAUCAUAAAUAUUUUUAUAUUAAUUUCAAACUUUUAAAAAUUGAAAAUUAAAAAACUAUUUAUUUAUUGUAAAUGACCCGUCGCGGCCCAGCCCUUUGGGAAUCGCUGCCUUAGAGUAUAUUUCAUAGCUUUCCAUCUCUCAGUGAGUCACUUCAAAAACAGCUUGAACAGCUUAAAAUGAUGUGAUAUUCAGCUUCUGUAUCUACAAGAAGAUGCAUCGUCAAGAUGCUGCUUCAAAUUGUUUUUCCAAGCCAGUCUUUUUCUUAAUCACCCACCGUAGAGAGAACCAGUGUAGCCGACACAGUAAAAAAAAAUAACAACUAUUAAACCAACUGAGAGUGCAUCUGGGAGAAGAAAGGAAACAUUUUCCGUGCUGAAGGACGGCACAAUUAAAGUAAGAUAAAGUCUGCUAAAGUUAAAGCAGCCUGGCAAGCCUCCCAAGAGUCACAUAGGAAGCGCGUGUAGGCAGUAAGGUGGGGAGGAACAGCAAACACAACGUUGUCACACUCCCUGUGGAGCCCAGCUAAAAGGAGGGGGGACAUGGAUCUGCAAACACUUCACUGCCUCCAGCUUCUGUUAUUUUCUUUCGCAAUCCUAGUGAAAUUCCUGCUGAUGAGUAGAUUAUGCUGGUACAUGUGUUUCUUUCAGUCUGACUAGUUACUGACGGUGGCUAAUGUUUAUGCGUGUGUAGAUGUUUUAAUCCAGUGUUUAAAAACAAAAUGGAUGAUCGCAGAUUGGAUGUGUAUUUUCAUCCCAACAGCUGACCUCAUUGUACAUACAGGCGCACUGUGCAAACACUAUUUGCUCUAGGGAUUCUGUGGGGGGGAGGACGUUUUUGAGCCAUCAUCCACUGUCCGAGGUUAUUAGGGUUCAAUGGUCCUUUUGAAGUGAACAGAGAGCGCACAGUCUAUGCACUGUGACCUCACCAUUUCGCUUAAUAACACACUACUUGAUGGAUGUGAGAUGGAAGUUGUGUUCGUACCUCAACAGUAGAAACAUUGUCUGCUAAGAGCCCAGGAGAAUAGUUUUACUGUAGACUUAAAAAGCAGUUAUGAUGUGUCUUUGGGGAAUGCUAACUUUUCCAGUGUAUGGUGCAUUUGACAACACUUAGUGGUAGUGCAAGGCAGGCUUUUUUUAAUACUCUGUGCCACUUGGGUGUUGACGCAUUCAGCAGGAUCACAUCAUCUGCUACUACAGAAUGUGUGCGUGUGCGAGUGUGUGUCUGUUGACACUAAUCUCUCUGAACAAGCCACAGCUUGCCAUGAGCAAGACAUUACAUGCAUCUCUUCACUCACCAAAAGUGACAGUGGCAUACAAUACAAACCAAGCAGCUAGACAAACUGUCCUGUCAAAAACCUGCAGUGUGUCAACGUCCAAAACAGCACAAAUACUCGAACCCGCAGAGAGCGCUAACCUGGUACCUGUGUCUGCAAUGUCAACAGAUGAUGAAUAGAUGAGUAGAUGAGCGGCCAACACUGUCAAACACUUACUAAGUUUGGAAGAAAUCUUGGUGCUUGCUUGGCAAAGAUGAAUAAGCAUUUGCUUUGUUCUGUGAGUUACAGGAAACGCAAUACGGUGUAAAUGAAGUCAGGCUUUUCAGUGAGAUGGGUUGAAGGUUUUUUAGGUGACCUAACUGGGGAUGGUGGAUAAUAGCUAGUUCCAAGGAGACAUUUUUAUUUUAUUAUUUAGUGCAACCAUGUGCAACAUUAUAGUCACAUCUCUAAAGAGACGCUCACAGUCAGACAAACACAAAGUGUAAAGUACACCACAUCCAUAUGAUGAUUGUUGUACGUAUUUCAAUCCGGAGAGACUUGUUGAAAUUUGAACAAUGCUUUAUUAUAACAGGUAUAAUAUGAUAUUGCAAGUUGUUUGGGGCUUGGACUCCAUCCUGCCGCAGGAUAGACCCGGGGCCGGGAACUCGAGCCGAGACGAGGCAUAUCCCCCCCUUGGGAGUCCAGACACUGGUGGUGGUGGUGGUGGUAUAGCCCAAGUUGCAUAACUCUCCUGCUAUGCCAGGUUCUGCUGUAGAUUGGAGGUGUCAGGGGUGGUGGCGGGUCACCUUUGGAGCGUGCUGAAAUGACAACUGACAGCACAAGAGAGGAGAACAGUUUUUAACGUUUGCCUGCCCCAAUGCGAUUGGUUUACGGUAACGACACCCACGUCUGAUACUACCCGACCCCGCCCCUAAUCAGCUGGCCGUGCGCCCCCAGGGAGAGAGGAGGCCACCAGGGAGAGAGGAGGCCACCAGGGAACGGCACAGCCUGUCCAGUCUUCCUGACUGAAAUUUCGCCUAAGCUUCAUUUAAUUGGAAAGAAACGUACCUGUGACCGUUUCACGCACUUAUUAAUGUAUUUGUGUUGAGUUAGCGCGUCUCAAUAAUGUAUCGACUUAUUAUAAGACUUAUGUGUACAGGCAUUAUUUAGCUAUUAUAUUAUAUGGUCUUAAAAUUACAAUUAUCCCCUUGCAGUUCUCUUUAUUUUGGUUAAAGCAUUUUUGAGACCCACAUGGUGGAAGCAAAGGAUUACAAUACCAUAUCACAUCAAACUAAUACAUUUCACUGAAAUCACAUCUAUUAACACAACCCACUGCCAACGCUUUGAUUUACCCUGCAUUAAAAGAGCAUGACCUAGCACCUCAUUUGAAAUAGAAGGCAGAAUAUUUUGUCAGCAAAGCAAAGAGUCACCACAUGUUUGACCAAACCAGAAGUCCAAGGCCAGUGCGUAUCUGGGUUUAAUUUAUCCGACACCCAGAAACAAGGCUGCUAUAGGAUGAUAAUGUGGCUUCUGUAGUGAACAGUCAUUUGAAGUACAGACAGUCAGUGUUACUGACAUACUUGUAUCAUUUCACAUGUAAUAUAAUUUUCAUUACUUAACAAAAGACUUAAGAUAUGAUCUGACUGAUAUCUUCUGCUAAACCUCAUAUUUAAAAUGAACAGUUACAAAAAUGUCAAAAAGACAUCUUAUAUCAUUAUUUUGUAUUAAUGUGUAGCAGAUGUUGUCGGGAUGAGCAACAAGAGGGAGAGCAAACUGUUUUUGGACCACAGUGUCAAUUGUAAAUCUCUUUUGUAAGAUAAAAAAAUUGAAGAAUUAUGGAAAUCUGUAAUUCUAGUUCCAAAAGAUUUUGACUGUUUGCAUCUCACAUGUAGGUAACGAUCUAACACAGCUUCCACUAUACAUUGAACAGAGUGAUGAACAGGCCAACAACUCUAUCCCUACUCGCCUCUGAUCCGCUGAUCGCUGAUGAAGCCUCGAACUGUUUUGAUACAGCGAGUGUGAGACUGCAUCUCACAUCUGUGAUGUCACGGAGACCAAUGAUGCUGCGUUCAAGAUGAUGUCAUUACGUAUAUAGCCAAACAGAAAAUAUUUGACCGGAAUUUCUCCCAUUUUUGUGGAACAUUAAAACUGACAGAAACAUUUUUGUCAACGGGAAUCCUGAAUCGGAUCCUCAACUCCAAGCUUUUUCUUUUACAGAAACACAACAAAACGUGUUGUGACCAAAAGGUCUCUUUUAAGAUCCUUCUGGUCAACAAAAUAUGUAUCUUUAGCCAACACACCAACACUGAUCUGCCAUGAGCUGCCAAAUUAUCAGACUGUCUAUAACAUUAAUUAUUCCUGACUGUGCUUCAUCCAAUUACAUGAAGUCGUAUCAAUUUUACACUGGGGUUUUUUAUCAUAUUUGCAUAUGUGGUAUAAGUCAGUUUGUUCCCACAGUAAGAACACGUUGAAGUAAGACCCAGUUAAUGAAUCCAAUGACUAUCCAGAAACUGUGCUGUGUUUAAGCAUAUAUUUGUUCCUACAAUCGGAUUGUAAUUGAGUGCCUUUGUCUUUCCAAGUAAAUCUGAACUCCCUCCUGGUUUCCAAACCAGCUGGUAACUGUCUCUUUCCUGUUUGAGUCGAAUCUCAAUAAAUCUUAAUGAAAGAGGAAUGAAACAUCAGGUCUAGGGAUAUAAAAAGCUCACAUCCUUCGGUAAAAUUUUGAAGCAUUACUCUUAGAGUAAAAUAAAGUAAUUCUGGAGAGUGGUUUUUGCCUCUGCCCUUUCAGACAGAAAUGACCUUGCAAGCCCCUGUACCAGAGGACCAGCUGCAAUCCAUGAUUCAUUUAACACCUUCUGGGCCAAGAAGCCCUCCAAGAACAUGAAUGUUGAUUAAACUCUUUGUGGGAGAAUUCAUAUUUAAAGCAUACGCCACAUGAAAAUGAAGGAUAACCAGCCAAGCAGCAGAACACAGCUCAGAAGAGAACGACGGGCAAUUUAUGAGAGAUUUACUCCAAUUUACAAUUUAUUCUGCAAUCAUCACAAUGUUUCCUCCAUAUAUAGAGCAUAAUGUAAUGCACAUUUGUGAGUGGGUGGAAUUAUAAGUCAUAAGAGUAGGCUACUCACAAAAUGAUAUAAAUGUCAUUACAGUGCAUUCAAGCAGGAAAUCUAGCACAGGGAACAAGAGAUUAGCCGCUGGGUGGGAACGCUCCACAUGUGCCCAUAACAGGCUGACGGAGUCAGUGAGUGGAUGAAAGGGUGAUUGAGCAAACUCUACUGACGUUUUGGGUGGCUCUGGGUCCACUAUGGAGUUUUGCUGGGGCUCGGUCCAUCUUUGAACUAGAUUACAGUGACUUUCAAAGGAGACUUCAGUGCCCUGUUUACCAUCAGAGACUGGAGCGCAAAAACAAAUAGCACUGUGUAAAUCUAAUGCUGGAAAAAGUCAUUUAAUUUAUAUUCAUGCGCCCUUUGUUGUUGAUGCCUGUCGUGGCCUCUCUGCCAGCAUACCUGCUGUGUGUGGUCUGAAAAAUAUCUCCCAUUUCACCCGCGGCUUGUGCAGGAACAUUGCACAUAUUGGACUCUGAACAAUAUCACCAGGAGCUCGUUGAUGGAAGUGAUCCGUCAUGUAGAGUUCAAGGGUUCUACAUUGUGUUUGUUCUUCACGGUCACUCUCUCAGAUGUAACAUCUCGCCCCCCAUCCUUCCUAAACCUUCUACAAGUGUAAUUCAUUUUUUUAGUUCAUCAAAUCACACAAGCCCCGUGUGCAAAAGUCCUUCUUAAGAGUAACAGCGCCAACAUUUGUGCUUCUGUUAAUGGUACAGGAAAAUUCAACCUUGAACGUGAUCACUAUAUGCAACCACCUUAACAAACUGUUCAUUUUUCAGAUAAACUGAUUUGUUUUAGAAUAGAAAUAAGGGAGAAAGUUAAAGUACUAGAGCUGCAAACAAGGCUGUACAUUCGGACUUGUCUGGUUUCAACAUGGAAGUGUUGCCAUGUUGAGAGACAAGCACUCGAAUAAAUCCCAAUGACUCUGGUGACUAGGACGUCCAGCAUCACCAGCAGGACAAAGUUUUAAAAUAUGCUUUGACAUGUUGUCUUUGAAACAGUUGCUCAAUAGAUACACAUCGUUGUACCUUUAAUGAUCCCAGAUGAAUAAUCCUAUCGACAGUAGUGAUCCCAGGACUCUUCCUCUGGCGACAAAGUGCGGUAUAGACGUGUGGUUUGGAGGGAAAUGUCGUAACAUACAGAGUAUGCAAUGGGAUAUCAUGGAACUUUCCACAUAUAUUUUUGUUACUGCCAAAGGAUGUAGUAUAAUUAUUGGGUGCAGAUGAACCUUGUCAUGUUAGUGUUACAUCCUAAACCAUUAUGCCGAAUUUAUACCUGCUAAACAGUAGCGACUUAACAUUGCCAUUGUGAGCAAUUGGCUGAAACAAGCAUAGCCUCACUGUAAACCUUUGAGUUUAGAUUGUCACAUGAAGAAGUGAUGCAUUGGUCUGACAUUUACUCUCUGUGGUUGGUCCUGCAUGGUUACUCAUAAGACUUGAUGAAAGAAGCAUUGUCACUGUGGCAGCGGUGGGGAAGAAGAAAACAACAGUCAGAGGUUUUUUAUUUAUAACAUAACAAGCUAAACCACCACGACCAAUUUUUACCACCAUUUAUGCCACAUUUUAAUAAUAAUAAUCUUACUGAUAGCUGCUGUCAUUGCAUCACGAGGAAUCCUUCAUGGCUCUUUUUUUAAACUAUCUUUUUAGACUAUUAGUAUACAGUUAACUAAUUGUACAGACUGUACAUUAUGACCAAUCAACACAAAACGAAUAAACAAACGCAAGUUAUCCGGUUUAGUGCUGAUGGGCCCAUUAGUAUAUGUGUAUAUAAAAGCCUUACAGAGGGACAGGGGCAGGUUGAGCACAAUGAUUUAACUUAACUAAAGCAAUUAGGAAGAGAGAAAUCCCACAUCAGGCAAAAACUACUGGCCUCAGCGUGGUAGUUCCGGCUACUUGGCUAUCGACAAUAUUGACUGCAGCUCUGUCAGACACAUGGGGAGUUGUUUCCAGCCGUUAGUAUGCGUGUUGCAGUGAAUAAAUAAGUUGCUUACUUAUAAUUAUACUGUAAUUAGCACAAUGUUAACCUAGAGUAUGCUUGGUAAUUAGAACUGUUAUAUUGGUCAACCUCACGUCUGUGAAAUAAGCACUAAAAUAUUUGACAUUUUAUCACUUACAUCACAAUUAGAAAAACACAUUUAAUUGACUAUAAUUUCAGGAAACUAAGAAACACUCAUUUUAUGAAAUACAAUGGAACGCCGGCAGAGUGGUGUUGCUUGAAUCCUCUUUCCAAUAGAAGUUUCCAAAAGUGGCGCUUUUAAAGGAUGUUUGGGGGUGUUUGCGUUAGUUUUGGGGGACUGUCUAUGCAGCUGGUGGUUUGCCAUUUGUGGUUACCAUCUCUUCCUUUUCACAUUAACUGGCUCUGCGCAUGUCUUCAGUGCCUAUGAAGGCUUUGCCACAGCCUCAGGCUGGAUGUCAUCUCAACAGCUCAUCAAAUUGAGUGACAUGUGUUGGCCUAACCCUCACACCUGAGGGGACAAAUAAAGGACACGCGUCCACGGCGCUUUAACGCCUCAAGGUGAAAAGUUGUAUACUGCAGCGUUGAGGAUUCUUGUCUUUCUUUGCUUUUUGUUGAGGAUUUUUAAACUUCAUUUUCAUCAUUUUACUGCGGUAUAAUGCAACUUGUUGUAAGAGUGAUCAAAUGGGGGCAAGGUUUGCACAAAAGGGCAAUGAGUCAUGUGUAAACGGGAGAAGACAAAAAAAUAACAAUUACAAAACAGACCAAUGAAUGAAUAAAUAGUUCCUUUUGUAGAAGCCUUAAAGUUAAAUUACAGUAACUGUUAUAUGCAUUUUUUUGCAUUUAAAGUUCAAACCUAUUUCUUGUGGACUUUAUGUGUCGGCACCGAGCCACAUUUUUUCUAUUUUACAGAGGAAAUUUAGCCAUCAUUAAACGAGAGUGAAUCACUACUAUUGCAGUCGGUAGACAUUUUAUUAAUUAAAGCUUCUAUUCACUCAGUAUAAUUAAACUGAUAAUAAUGGCACUUUGUAAUGUGCGAAAUGAAAAGUAAGGGCUUAUCUUUUAAAGCAGGAAACAUUUUAAUGAAAUCAUGAAGUGGUGUUAGAUCAAUCUAACUGCACAUUUUAUAGAAAUGCUACUUUUAUAUCUGUGUGUCAUUUUUGAUGUGGCUAAAAGUAUAUUUGGGUGUCAGAUAUUGAAGGCUUCACCAAGUCCCUGUUAAAUUGAGAUGACCUUAAACUUUUCCCAUCAUGAUUGCAUUGAUUCCAGUUAUCCAGCCUUUUGCUGAAAAGUCUUCAUAACAAUAAAGAUGCCAUCUAAAUGUUAGUUACAGUAAUGCAUGAACCCUUUUCAAACUAACACUUAACGUUGACAUUUACACAUGUAUUCCUGCUCUCUAUACUGUAAAUGAAUAUAACUGUGAAUUCCCUUUGAGCAGAUUAUAAUCUGCAUUCAGUUAUUAUUUAAAUAAUCUCUGUCCUUGUAAUCAGGGUGGGCAUUAAUGAAAUUUUGUCAUGCAUUUUAAUUAAGGUUUCAGGAACACAUCUUAAAGACAGCCCAAACAAGCCCUUUAGUUCACUGGGCCAAACAUAUUAAACACUGUGGCAAUAAAGUAUAGUUAAAGAAUUUCCUAACAUUAAAAUAAGACAUGAACCGAAUAUGACAAAGAUGAAUAUAUUUGGAGCAAUUUUGUUUUGAAUGCUUUAAUGAAGAAAAACAGCAUCACAACAACAUCAGCUAUUUGAAAUGUCUCUUGCAAACGUAAAUAAGUAAGUUUAUUUACACAAAAGACACAAUCAAUAAAAAUAUACUUAUGUACUGUUGAGGAUCGAGUUGUGCAAAUCUAUGGACCAAAUAAAUAUGAUAUGCUAACAAAUCCGAAAGACCGAGAGACGUGUUUGUGUCUUUCUGACACCUUUGUUCCACGUACUUGUCAGGCAUGUGUGUAGAGACAUUUAUAUUAGUCACACUUUUACGGUUUAUGGGUAAAAAAUGUAUUUGAUUUCAUGGUGACUCGAAGAAUAGAUUACACUGUAGACGAUGAUGGUGUGUGAUAUUUGCCUCGCUCACAGAUGGGGAGUGAUGUUGUUUCGAGAUGAUCAUAGGGAGGGGAGGAGAGCAGCAGUAAAACGGACCUAUAUGCCUAAAUGAAAAGUCUGCACGGUACAGUAUGUACAACUAAGAAUGCACGAAUAAGCACUUCCUGACUAAUUAAUGUCCUUGUCUGACCACCAUUAAAAGGAAUGUGCAGCAUGAUAUAUAGAAAAGCCCUGAAUAUUUCAUUCAGGCUCUCUGCUGAGAUAUUUUCAUGUCAUUUCACAGCAGCUUUAACCACUGCUCAGUUAAAAAACAACAACAUUGUAUCGCCAAGAGUGUCGGUUGAGUUCUGCCUUAUCAAUUCAUUUUGCCAUGACAACAGGCCUCCCCUCUCUCUGGGGCACUUUGAGUACAAUUACAAUAAAGAGCUCGAGAGAUCAGUUGGACUUCAGAUCCUCCCACUUGAGCCUUGCAAGAUUCUUGUACUUGAUACAGUUCUUCUUUCACGAUGAGUUUCUCCGGCUAACAACACUUCAAAGUUGCUCCUAUAGUUGAAUAAUGGACUCAUUGACAAUGGUGGGCCGGGUUUGUUUCUCCAUUUUGUACUCAAAGAGUGUGAUGUGAUAGCGGUUCGGGGGGACAUGCACACAGGAAAAAAAUUAGCCUUGGCAUUCAACCCCAAAACAAAAUGUUUUACACCUAAAUAAUGGUUAUAGCAAUAACAUGUAUUAAUCACAGUUAUUCUAGUACAAUGAUCAACCGUUUAAAUUACCACUGUUGCAAAACAUCAACCGUAAAUACUGGAGCUUCCCAGCCACAAUUAGUCAUGAAUAAUUGCAGCCUGUAUCAAAUUAGAGGGGAUGCAAAUGAUUCCACAGACCAGAAAGUCUCCAAUAUAUAUCAUUAUACUUUUCAAUAACAGGAAAAUAUUGUCUCCUGGGAAGAGUGUAAUUUGUGGAAUUAUGGCCACAGGAGGCUCCUUUUUCUUUAGAUCUGCCUGUAACUUCUGAAAAACAUAUGGCCCUACAAUUGCUAUUAGAAGGUGAUCUCUGACUGUACAUUAACCAAGGUGCUUGUCGGUCAACUGGAACAAUGUCCUGGUGCAGUGAAUGUGUGCUCAAAGGAUUUCUACAGACCCCCAGCGACCCGCGGCACUAAGCAUAUCUUUUUUCCCCCACUGUCGGUCACCGCGUCCAGAUACACACGUGCUGGCAAAUCUGUUCACCUCAGGGAAAGCAGCCUGAGGGAAAAUUGCCUCAGGGGGACGCGCGCACAUCCCUGUCCGUCUCCAUUAUGUGAGAUUUAAAGCUGUUUUACCUUGUUUACAGCGCCGUCAAAGAAUAACACCACUGCACUGCAUCUUGUCUGAACAUGUUUGCCAAACCGUUCUGAACCGUUCUGAAUUUACCUUCAUUAACAGUGUCAAUAUGUUGUGAUGACGUGCGUGCAUGUUUGAGUAAUUAGAUGCCAACUCUGGAUGGCUGCGGUGAAAUGAGCCUUUUGUUCUGUUUGUCCUUUGAGGAAUUAGUUGUUGAUCUUCUCUUCCUGUGCUUUCCAGGUACGUGUACAGUAGAAGAUGAAUUGUAUCAGACCGGAGGGGAAACUUGGUUGGUGCUGUGGACGGGUCAGUGAGGCAGUCACAGGGCUGUCAUGACAUUUUAUUAUUGAUAAAAAAGAGCAGCGACCUGGGUAUUAUCCUAACCUCUAUUAACUAUUUAUAGGCUAAGCGCACAUAUUUGUAGCCAGAUGAAAGAAGUAGAACCGUCAACCAUACUGUGCGAGGGUGUGUUCCUCUGUUGGACUGAUCGCAUGCUCUGCCAGAAUGCCUCGCUUACACAUUGUCUUGGCUUUGAAGGCGAGCUGUCAUGCAUGUUUGAUCACAGGCAAAAACAGACACUCAGAAGUCCCACAGUCUUGGCAGACGAGAGCUAUGCAUUUUCUGGAGUAGAGAAUUUUAUUUCCGCCUCAAGAAAAUCUUGAUCCCAUGGCAUUUGCCAACUCGCAUGGAGUAUUUGCUAAUGACCAAACACACCUCCAGAAACGGGCCGAGAAGAGAAGGGCUCCACCUCAACAUCUGCUCCCUCCAUCUCCACGUGGAAUCCCAGGAGAGAGCAAACAUCGCAUGCCUUCCUCCUUUCCAUCCAUCCUCCUCACUAUUUACUAAAUGGGCACACUGAAGGAGCUUGUUGUCCUGGUAACAAGUGAGGAGAAAUUCUGAAUCAAUGCACUCAAACACUCCAUUACCGUCUACGACCGAGCCAAAUGGCACACGUCACAGCCAGGAUUGGAUCUGUCCAAAAGCCAAUCAUCACGCCGCCGUCGUCGUCGUGGAAUCUGCUUCCGAUUAGGAUUCAAUAAUUAAUGAUGUGUAUGCGGGCUGUAAAGAAAUACUCACCAGCAAUUUAAAGGCACCAAGUCAACGCGUUUUUAGACAAAAUCCAAUAGAUGGGAUAAAUACUAACUUCUUUUCUCUUUUUCUUCUUUUCCUUUGUUUGAACUACUGCAAAUCCAAAAAGUAGAAACGAAAGGUUUCAUUGAAGUAUUCAAUUCUAAAAUGCACUAAAGUCAAUGCUGUGCAGCAGGAAUAGAGUUAUGUAUUGUCUGUGUGCAGCUCAGCAGCCAUACUGCAUUUGAACAGGUUGCAAACACUCAGUUGCUGAACCAUUCAAGCAUGUAAACAGUUGUAAUCUCAGUGGAAGGAAAAUUAAGGCAUGGUGAAUUUCCCUCAACUGCAUUUCAAGGCAGCAUAGUUCUAAAUUUAGUGCGCAGAUUGCACAGAGCUUUUAGUGCAACGAUUAACAUCUUAGCAUGGAGCUAAAAUGACCUGCAGAUAACAAUUGUCAAAAGCCUGAGACAAACGAUAAUAAGGACCAAUUACUGGAAUCUCGGUUGGUUUUGAACUUUGAACCCAAAGAGUCGCAAUAUAAAAGCCUUUUGCUACAGUGAAAUAUGAAAUACGGAGCAACAAGAUGUAAUUUAGGGUCACAAAGAUUUUUCUCCGUUGACUGAAAUCCGCUGCAUCUUUAAGCAGAGCUGACACUGGAUGAAAAGGUUACAUGAGGGAUGAAAAGAAAGAAAUUCUGACUCUGCAAUGUCCCUUAAAGAUAUGUCUGUGUAUACAGCAAAUGUCUUCUGGUGGUGCAUCCUAAUGCUGGCAAACUGAGAUAAACAGUGGAGUAUAAUGUAAUGUUGCCUGACGGACAGCAGUAAUGGAUAAUAAAUCUCAGGUUGAGAUGCCUUUUGAUCAUAAAUCAUACUCAGACUGUUGGCCAAAGUCGAAUCCAACAGGCGGCAGAGCAACAGGGAGCAGAGGGCUGAAGAUGAGAAUAAAUCCCAUCUCUUAAUGGUUUGCCCCACAACACAACAGAAUAUUAAACGCUUGAAUGGAUAGGAAGAAAUCAGACGUUCAUUGGUAGCUGAGGACAAAAUAGUUCAAAAGUAAGUUUGUGGAAGAGGUUCAAGUAAACACGAGCUGGGUAUUGAAUAAUUUGAGAGGAAAACUUUCACUCAAUAAAAAUAGAUCCAUUUGAUAUAAUUUGAAUCUUUUUCAUACAUAUUUCAUAUCCUUCCAGAUUCAUGAGGCAGGGGGUCCGGUGAAUCAGAAUGUAUCAUCAAGCAGUGGGAAGUAGUUGAAAGGUUUGCUAAUAUGAUGUUUUGCUGCUUGUUUCUUUUACUGCAAGGUCAUCAUAAAGAUAAAAAUAAUCCCCCAUGACAAAUUUGUUUUCAAAAGAUUUCACUCUCCUCUAUCAUCUCUGAGAAAUACUGCCCGAUAGUGCUGACUCAGAUGGAGUGCGUUGAUCGGGGCCUGAUGUAUUACUCUGUCUUUCCUGUAAUUCAAAUACCUCCACCACUUGUUUUGAGGAAGAGCAUGGGGAGUGUGAAAUUGUCCUUUGGGAAUCCUACUAAAGGGCUUCUCUACUCCCAGACACAUGUUGAGGCAUGUCAAAUUCCUAAUCUGAUGAAAACACUUGCCGGGGAGAGAUAAUUGUACAAAUGCAAAUACGCAGCCCACUGGUAGGAGGGACUAUUUAUGGUUACAACUUGAUAUUGAAGCCAGCAAUUAGCUUCUCCUGGACAGGGUUCAAAAGGAGAGGAGAAUUAGGCCUCAGGGACUGUUGAUACAUUUGUCCAGUGUGUGAACGCAGUCAACAUGUAAGAAGUGGUACAGCAAAAACGAUCGCCUCAUAGAGACAUUAUGACUGGCUGAACUCUGGCCGCUGUGCUCAGGCACUGAUGGAGCCUCUGAACAAUGCCUCUUUUUUCAAUUUUAUUUUUAAUACGUUUCCUAGUGUCCAUAUAUUUGAACCGCAUAAAUUACAGUGUGGGACUUUGUUGCUCAUCAUUGAUAACACACCACACGUUCCCUGGCAAUUACCUUCGAAGAUAAAGCGUGCUGAUUUACACCAGAACCAGUUACAAAACGGACCAAUUAUUCUGCAGUGAAAGCCAGUAAGAAAGACUGCCAUGUGUAAUGAACAACGGUUCAGAUAGUAGGCUCGACCCGAUGCAUAUAUUACGUGAGCGCUAACAAGCUGUCAGCACAGCUAACAUGGACAAUGUAUUGACAACACUUUGCUGUCUGACCUAUAUCAAACAAUAAGCGAAGAAAACAAGAUGGCCCAAGCUAAUUAAAACAAACUGCAGAUUAAUUUGGUGCUUUGACAGCAUUUUAUAUUUAGUGUGCUAAUGAGAAAAUCACAGCAUUGAUAUAGAACUUAAUGGUUGCGUAGGGUUGACCUGUUUUAUGUUAGUCCUAAAUUAGGCCCCCUUUAUAUACUUAUUAAUGAAAAAGAAGAUGGCUUUUAAAAGUGACUUUGAAGCAAGAAUCAGGGACAAGAGCCUCUGCUUUUGGUUGAUCAAUACAAUUCUAAAGCACUUCCUCCUUAAUGGCCGGCUGAUCAAAGUAGGCAAAGAAUAAAGCUUUGCAUUGCAUUUUUAUCGUAUCUUAAAUGGAUAAAAGAACUUACAAAGGUUUUAAGCACUUAGUUUAAUGUUGCUUCAAUUUAAGACACAAUCCCAGCAAUGUGACCAUUGCAAGCAAAAAUUACCUCAUCUUUCAUCUUUUGGAGGAAUGAAUAUCCUGAAUGAGCAUCACAAAAUUCCCACAAAACUGUUAAAAAACUGAACGGACCCAUUUACCAUUUAUUAAAAAAGGGAACAGGGCAAGAACACUGAGGCCGUGGUUUGAAACGUCCUGGUUAAAUGUGGGGAGAUUGUUGUCACUUCAAACACAGGCAUUAAAAUAUGGAGAGUUGAGAGCAAAGUACAGGACAGCAGGAAUAGUCGCUAGUUCAACAUGUUCCACCAGGUGGAAUUCUGCCUCCAAGUUGAUCAAAUGUGUGUAUUUUUGUUUAGUUUAAAAUAACAUUAACAAUUAAACAACAGGGUCUAAAAUACACACUUCCUAAACUGAUUACUUCUAAGAUGCAGUCUUUAGAAGAAAAACAAACAUUUAACAACAAGAACAACAUUCAUUAAUCGCCAUUAAUCGAGAUUAAUGAAUUUCAGUAUGUGUGAUUAAUUAGUUGUUUUUGAAUCUAUUGACAGCCCUAGUUCUUUUUUCUUUUUCUUUCUUCAAUAGAGAAUAUUAUGGAAGCCCAUUUCCGCCACAGAAAAAAAAGAAAGAAGGGUUAGAAUUUUGGAAAUAGCGUUUACGCACCUAUAAAUAGCGUUUACGCACCUCUAAGUGGCGUUUACGCACCUCAAAGUUCCCUGCGCCUUGUAUUCUUCCGUUGGAAUAAUCCCAAAUAAACUUGGUGUAAUUUUAAAACAGCUAAGACUACGUUUCCUAUUGUUGAACAUAUAAACGUCCUUUUCAUCUGCGCUGUAUUACGGUCUGUGACCAUCCAAUCAGUGCCUUGCGGCUGCAGCAGCGACACCUAUCAGGAUCCAGGAGGUGUGUAAACACAUACACGUUGUGGAUCAGCCCAGUGGUCCCCAACCUUUUUUACCUCACGGACCGGUUUCAUGUCAGACAAUAUUUCGCGGACCGGUUGAGAAGGUCCGACGGGGGGGGGUGUAGUAGUUGUUGCGGGCGGAAAGACCGACGGAGGGGUAGGGGGGAGGGGAGGGGGAGUAGUCGCGCGCUCUGUGUUCGCUGCUUCUGACGCGUAGGUUAGAAAACAUGUCAGUUCUCAAUGUGAAAAAAAACAUGCUGUGUAGGCUAUUUAUGAUGACAUAGGUAGUACAUGAGUGUUCCUUUAACUUAUUUUGUCAGUGUAAUUGACAGGCUGCUUAAUUGGUUAACUCUUAAAUUCAACAUAUUUUUUCAUGCAGUGAGAGGACAGGCAAUGAUGCAGAGAGUACAGGGAGAGGAGAAACACCAGGUCGAAUAGAGAGAGGAGAAGCACAGAGGAACACGUUCUGGGGUUCAUGGCUCCUCUGUGCAAGGCAGGACCGGACGUGGAGGACAAGGAGGCCCUCUGGGCACUACUGUAAAAAGGAGACUCCGUAUGUAGAUAGCUCUUAAUCUGCAAUUGUGUUGUUGUGUUGUGUUGACAUACUUGUCUUUACUGUUUUCUUAAAUUUAAUAAACUACAAACUACUAACACAUGUAUUCAUUAUCAUUGAUUGUAUAUGACUUUUACUGAUAACAUAAUGCAAUAUAGCCAGGACAGCCUUACAGAGUCGCGACGCUUUGUGUUGCGUUGCUUCGCAUCGCGUCGAGGUCUGUAUGAUCACAAAAUUCAGAGUUUACCCACCUCUAAUUUUACCACUACAGCACUGCUUGCACCCACUCACUCCACUCUCAUAACAAACAGGGACGUCCGACUUUUAGCGGAGUCUAAAUUAUCUUCGAGUCCGAAAUAAAUCAAACUUCGAACGAGAUAAAAUACGUUAUUUAUACGGUAUACGGUAUUUAUUUCGUAGUUAUCGUGAUUAGAAACGAUUGAAAAGAGUUCUCUCUUUAUUGAACCAGUGUUGCUAAUUUCUCAAUGAGGAAAGAUGCUGCAGAAUCAGCAGCAGCUUUGCGCAUGCGCUCGUUGAUUUCAGUCUAGACGUGACGUGUGUCUCCUCUGUGCUCUGACUGCAGCUGGAGGCGGCUCGCAGUCAAGUCACGUCAGACACCACAAAAAUGUCUCCCAAUAAAACCAGAUAAGGUCGCUUUUGACAAGAAGUCGCCAAGAGCGUUUGAAAAGUCAAUGUACCAAACAACGAAGGAGCCUGCGCGUGCGCAUUUCUUAAGUCAUAAUUUCGACUUUUCAAGUUUUUGUGGUGGAAAUGGGCUUCUAGGAAACUAAACACAACAAUAUCACUAAUUACACAUUUUGUGUUGUUGUGUGUGUUCUAAAAGAAAAUAAUGAAUUUUUAAUUUUGGUUCAUUGAAUAAUCAAUGUUGUCAUCAACAUACUUGGUAAUAAUAUUAGCCAACAUGAUAGUGUUACAUUGCAGUCUCGCCGCACAUUGAGGAAAUGAUGUGAUACACACUAUGGAGAAGCUAAACCCAUAAUCUAUAUUGAGUUUUGCUUAGGUAAGCUUGCCUCCACUUUAGAAAACGAACAACCAGGUACAAAAACGCAACACUUGUAUGGCACAGAAACAUUGAUGUCUUUUAGAGUGAUGGCAGCUUUGCCAUGGAGACAUAUUGCAAAGGCAAGGCUUUUGAGCAGGGCAUUGCAUGGGAUUAAAUGGCUUUCCCUCUUCCGGACUGGAGAGAACAAUCGCUCUUUGAAAUGAGCCGCACCACACAAAAUGAAGCAUUGAACUUUCAUCUUGGGCUGUCUAAGAUAACAGUCCUCUUCUAAUAAUUCCACUGUGUAGUGUAUUCAAGAAUUUCAGUGCGCGUGCACUUAAAGAAGAAUACUCAAUAGCAUUCAAUAUGUUGUCUCGAGUCAUGGGACCUAUACGAGAGGUUUCGGGUUCAUGACCUUUUCCACAUUAGUCAUAUUAAGAGCAACACAGAAACAUGUUGGAAGCAAAGGAAGUUCCUUUGAUUGAAUCAACCAUACAGUUUUGACUGAUGAUUAUCUGAAAUAGCAUUGCACACAAAUCAAUUAUCUAAUUAAUUAACAAACGGUGUAUUUAUUAUGAACAUUUUGAUAUUUGGGCACUUUGACUGCAUACGUGCUUACUGAUGGAUACAUGAUGAACUGCUUGUAUGACCUUUCAGUUACGGGGGCGUCUCCGUGGCCACUAAGACCGCCACUACCACAACAUCCAUAAAACUUGGUUGAGGAAUUUCUAGCUCAGUUAACAAGCCGAAGGUACGCAGGACCAAAAUGGUUAGCAGCAGCUCCACGACACCUCCCCGGGAGCUCGUCGUGCCGUCAGAAAUAUGUUUCAGUGGACAAGACAACAUACUUAGCCGGUACUUAUCUUGGAGAACAUCACGACAAGAGGAGACUGUAGCUCUGUCUUCAUUUUCCGGUCCAUUUUUCAUUAGCCCUCACCUCUCUCGCUCUUCCUUCUUUACUCUCCUUUUCACCAGCACCCUGAGGGGGAUUGUUGAAUUUCCCCUCCUCUAGGUAUCAUCCUCUGUGAGCUGCCAGAAUUUUUCCCACAGCUUUUGGCUUGAGAUCAGUGGAGCGGCCUGGGCAAAGAAGAAAAUAUAGAACUGGGACGUGGAGACAGACACAACCUCCCGCAGCAAUCUCCGCCUUAGCAAUUUUGAUAGUGGAGGUGGUGGUAUGGGUUACCUCUGUAAAACACUAUGAGGUCCUGAGCUUGUUCCCUGCGCAGCAGAGAGCACUCGCCUCUCCCUGCAUGACUCUCUCUUGACAGUCAGACAAACAGACAUCCAAUCUUGGGUUUGGAUGAUUACGCUGCUAUUGACCGUAACCUUAUCAUUCUGGUGUAAAGAAACAAUGUGAAAAAAAGGGGAGAAAACAAACCCAGAUCGUUGCAGAUCCGGGGCUGGCUCCAAGGCGCAGGUCUACAAAUUUAACCAGUCAGAUUUGCUGAGUAAAACUUGUUACCCCCUAAAAUCCGAACCCUUUUGUACCAAUGAAAGCUCUCUAGCUUACUAUUUAAAACCCCAACAUUUAUCAUAACUUUAAAGCUUUUUGGUCUAUUUUAUGCUCCAUGAGUCAUUUUAUUGAUUGGGCUGAUAACAAUGGCAGCCUUUAAGUGAAAUAUAAACUGCCAGCGAGAGAAGCUUAGCUUUCUCAUUAUUUAAAACCCAACGAAUCCAUCUAUGCCACUUUUGAUGGCUGUGGUUAGGGCUCGUAUUGGCACUUUAUUUGCUUGAACCAUGUUAAUAUAAAGCAAACAGAUCAAGUUGAUGCGUUUUUUGGCUCUACUGUCCGGUCACCUUCUCUUAAGAUUUCACAAAGCUGUAGAAGAGAGUCACACUAAUGGGACACAGGACAGGUUCGAAUUUACAUGAGCACAUCUUCCAUUGGUGGGUAAUGCAACUACCAAGAACCUGUGAUACUUUACAAAAAAAAGGGGUGCUCCUCUGUAGCCGAGGGAAUAAGGGGGUUACAGGGAGGAAUGUUGUUGUUUGCAGAAGAGGCUUUAAAUUUGGGCUGCUGAAUGCAAAUGAAUGCCUUUGAACUACACAGAAAUCUUAGAAAAAUACUUAAUAUAUUUUUUUAUUCUUUUUUGUGAAUAUCUUGCAAGCAGCAAAGGUUGGCAGAACGAGACUGUAGGUGAAAUAGAUUAAGAGGCUUGACUGUUAGUGAUCAAAAAUAUACAAUAACUACAACAAUCGCCUCUCUUGAGCCGUUUUCGACAAAACUAAAAAGGAAGAGCCCCUAAGUAGUGUCAGUCUUUUUUGCAUUAAAGGGCAUAUUUUUGUUAUUGAAGAGGAACCUCUAUCAGGGAAGUGCAGGCAAUUACACCAAAUGCUCCCAUGCAUGAAAUCCCAGCUGGUUGUUAUUGAUAAAUUUCCAAACACCUCCAAAGACUUUUCAAAUUACCUCUCUCCCUUAUUAAAACUUAACUCAUGCAUUUCAGAGCCCCCUUCCAUACACAUUUGUUUUUUUUCCCUUUUUUUUUUUGAGCGAGUGUUUAUGUGUGCACGAGCAAGCAGGAAAAUAUGCUUGCAAUAAAGUGCGCGAGAAAGACAGAGGAAGAGAGACAGAGAGAGAGAGAAAGGAUGUAGCAUUGGAGUGCUGGACAAACAGACACCAUCCAUUUAUCUCUUCCUAAAGUACCUAUAUGGCAGGGCUGCGUUAUUAGUAGGGAUGCUGUAAGCCGAACAUAUUUUGAGUCUCUUCUGUAUUCAAGCAGCAUACUUCUGCAUUAACACAAGUCAUUUCUCUUUACAUGGCCCAAUGAGAUUCCCUUUAAAACGAAGGUCAAAUGAAUUGGCAUACUCCAAGGGUAAAGCAACCUCACUGUCUCCUUCCUAAAUGUUCCCUUGCUUUGGUGUCAUCUCUCAAGGGUGGAUCCAAUCAUUAAAAAUGACAUCUUAAUUCUGAGUGGAGAUAAAUGGAAUGCCUAAAUUCAAAUGAAUAAGUAUGUGCUUUUAGACGCUCAAAAUAUACACAAUUCAAUUAGUAGACUAUUAUAUCGACCAGCCCCCAUAACCCACCCCUGUAAUCACACAGCGCAUUUACUAUAAAAGGGGUUACAAUGCUUUUACUGGCUCGUUCAUCUCUUAUUUAAAAAAAAUAAUGUGUAUUUACUCUCACCAAAGAGUGAAAACCUGGCAGUUCACGCAGGAUUCCUGGACAACCUGCACACAGGAGUAAGACAGACCUCCACAUGUUGCUUCUGCUCUUGAACCGGUCCUGCCCUGCAGCCUAAGCCUUUGGCAGAUAAGAACAUACCGCCAUGAACAGAUUUAAAUGUAAAUGUAGCUCCUUCAUGAGUAACGACAGAGUUGUGACUGCGACAAGCCUUUAUUACAGCGUAUUUAAUCAUCUCAUUGGGCCACAGAUUAAUAGCGGAGGGAAAAUUAAAUGCAUCUUCGCACACUUCAAAAAUGGAUUUUGUGAGACUUAAAAAAAAUAAUUAAAAGGUGCAAUAUGAUUAAAAUGACACAGCAUGUUGUCCUCAAAUAUUUACGGGGGGUAAAUAUUUAUCAAGAAAGUGUUCAGCUUUCAUCAUCAUCAGGGCUACUAUAGAAACAAGCACAUUAAACUCUGAGGUAUGUGAAUGUUCCCCUAAAAGCAUAAUAAUGACACAUGCUUUGAUGACAGAGCACUCCGUAGAUGUGUGGAAAUGCUACAUAAAACCGCAGCCUGCUUUUAGACACUUCCUCGAUGUGUCACAAAGAUGUACUUACAAGGCCUCGCUGGUAAUAAAUUAUGCAUUCCUCUCACGCGCCACCCGUCCAGUCUUUGGAGACGGAAAGACAUAAAACCACAAGACCUCUCCCCCUCGCAAUGUACCAGCCACGUUUACAGAAAGUAAACGGCCCUAGUGCCACGCGGCGACGCAAGGCGGCAGGCUGCCACUUCUGACUGGUCUGUGGGCGACGGAGGUGUCUGGUUGGAUCAGUAUGCAUCGGGCGUGUGGAGUCACGGAGGGGCCCGGUGUCUAUCCUGACAGAGCACAGGUGGGAAGAGUGAGUGUGCUAACAAAAAGGCAGGUUUCCUUUCAUGCAAUGACACUCAACCUGUCAUCCAAACAAUAUGUCACUUGCAGUUUUAUUCUUUCUUUUUUUUUUGCUCCCCCGCCUGAUUUUCUCCCUGUAAAAGGUGGCGGUGUAAAGUGGUGGUGAUCGUCGAGUGAGAUGUUAAAAGGAGCACAUGCUUCCGUUGUGAAGGACGACAAACUAACAAAAGAGGACAUGAUGGAUGAUUUUUUUUUUUUAAUCCUUAAUUUGCUGGAUGAGUUCACUGAGAACAUAUUCUUAUUCAUGAUGGCAACACGGGGGAUCAGUAGCCGAGGGAACAAGAGUAAUACAUGGCGGCAUAGCUAGAAGCAAUAAUGGAUUUCUUAACAGAAGCUAAACACCUGUGGCUCUAAUCACAGGACUGGAUUUUGAGUAUUUGAUGGCAAUGACAAGAACAAUACUUAUUAAUAGCAACAGUAGCUUCAUUUUGAACGUAGUAUUGCAGCCGCCAAUUAGCCCGUAGCACUACUGCAAACACAGCUCUUGGCGUUUACCCAUAUCUUUAACUGCCUCAGCCGCUGACUGCUUUGAGGCGAUAUUUUUAUAUUAGAGAGCCGCUCUGAUUCAUGUUUGACCUCCCUGCCACAGCAUCUCUUUUGAAUGCAGUGCUGGCAGAAUAAUAAAUGCUCUUGGUUGGUAAAAAGGAUAAGAAAGUAAAUCCAGAAAAGGUUCACGUAGAUGUAAUAUAAAAAGCAUGAAGAAAAACUACAAACGGAUUGGCAGUUUAUUCCUCCACAUCAGCUGGGGUGAAAGGGAAAUUGGAAUACUGAAUAUUUGUCUGUGAACACACUUCAAAUGAUUUGCAUGGCUUACAGUGUUAGAAUCCUAUUUUUACAAUCAAUGGUUUAGGCCGAACGUUUCUAACUUUAGGCAUUUCGCUAAAUACAACCUGAAUCCUGUGUGUAUCUAUCAAUGCAAAUGGGAUUUAUUUAUUUCACAAUAUCAAUAUAUUCUUUCUGAAGUUAAUUUCUGACAUUUUCUGGUCAAUAACAUGAUGUGGUCCAAUAAUGACAGGAACAAUAUGUAUUACCUUGCUCCCAUCCUCCACAAAAUGUAUGCAUUGUAUAAAAUCUAUAUUGAAUGCCAUGACUGAUAAGCGACCGCUUGCCUCUAACAAAAGCAGACGCCAGAUUGCAUGUCUCAUCGAUGGUGCACUCCAUUUAACAUGAGCUGACAGACAGAUUGCAAUUUGUUUUACACACAGCCUUUAUGACAGCGUCCUUUACCAUCCAGAAAACACAAUAUUAUGUAGGUACUUAGUGCAGGGUUUUUGCUGAAUACAUUUCCCUCUUGACCUUGAGACAAGGUGCCAUAUAUUAUGCCAUUAGCCUCGCAAAAAUUACAUUUCUGUGUGUCCUUGGAUCAAUGAUUAAAGUUACAGCUGUUGACGUGUUGGUGAUGUAUACAUGAUUGCUCCACUAGCUGCCUUCAUGAUACGGUCUAUGUAGCCCCCUGGCACCAGCCACCCAACCAUUCCCUACUUGCUGUGUGCUGCUCCCUGCGUCCAAUACCAUUCCUUAUGUAUAUUUACAUAUAAUCCUAUGUUGUCAGGCUACAUCAAGCUACAUGACUUGAGAGUCAUACCCAUGCUGUGCUUGGGCUCUGAUGUACAACUUAUCCAUAUCUUGUUGCAAAAGCACUGCGCUGCAUUGUCAGAUCACAUCAUGGUAGGCGCAUGCAGUCAUACAUUAGUUACACAAGGGGGCUAAAGCAGCUAGAGUUGCUCUCCUCUCCCAGGGAGCCGUCCCUGCUUUAUAAGUACGCCUGACUUGACAUCAUUAAACCUUGGCGGCAACUGCAGUGAACCAUGUAGUGGUUUUGGUUUCCAACCGUUCUGUCGGAUUCCAUAACAGGGUUUUUCACCCGACACAUCCGUCAAAGAAAAUUACUCUUAUUUAAAAAGUCAAUAUCAUAAGUUAAUUUCAAAACAGAAGUCAAUAUACAAAAUAUUUUACUUCCUCAGGUUCUUUCUAUCUAUAGGCUCUAUGUCUAUUUAGUACCCAAAUAAGACACCUGCAUUUGCUAACUUUUAAAGCUUCGCAGCACCAACAAGGAGACUGUUUGCGACUAGCCGGCGAAUAGAAUGCAGCAUUUAGCAUUUAAAUGAGCAGAUAUUUCCCUCAGGAGAUAGACACCAGUGAAUAUUGAACUUCCAUUCAUCAGGUGUCCAAAGAAAUGAUUCAAACAAAUACGGUAAACUUGCACCAUACCUGCUGGAUUUGUAAAUAAGCACCGUUUUUGCUGAAAGGGUCACACCAUCAACUUUAUAGUAUGCUGUCUUGUCAAUGUUACAUACAUAUCCAAGGAAAUCAGUUUUGUCCCUAAGAAUCUUUGGAUUAUCACGCAAAAAAAGUAUCAAUACCCUCCUACUGGGAAAUGGGAUAAUACAAACAUUAAACAUUAAACUGAAUAAAAUAAGGCAAAAUGCUUUUAGACAUGGAUUUGAAGGUUGUGCUAAGACUUCCCUUGUCUAUAAAUAGAAGAGGCUUCCUUUUUUAAAUUUGAUGUUGUGCUACAAAGGCAAAAGUGAAUACCUUGUUUGGCUUAUUGUAGAUUCAGUCAGGCCUUUGAGACACUGGCCUCCUCUGAAUUACCUUCCAUUAGAAAAAUCCCUGGGGAAGCCCUGUGUGAGAACAGAAACGCCAACCUAAAGUAGACAGAAGUGCCAAUCGCCUUCUGCUGUGGGAAUUGUAAGACAUUGCAUUAAAAGUAUACAUAAAUAAAAACAAAUACAAGUAUGGCCUUGAUUCUCAAAUUCAGCUUUGAUAGUGUUAGGGACAUGUAUAGUGGGGCACAGCCUGAACAAUUAUGCAUCUUUCUGUUUACCCCCUUGCAUUCAGGGAGGGACCCAAGUGUUAUUUUCAAAAAAAAAUUGAUAAGUAGCGAAACCUCAGCUUGUUUCCGAUUCAGUGAACCGUGUACAGCUUAAAAGAUAUAUGGAAAUUGGAUCUCAAUGGGAAUAUUAGGAGAACUUUUAAUAUCAUGGCGAAAUGCCAAACCUUAAGAUGCAAAAUGUCAUCUUUUACCGAAGAAAAGCAAAGCUGACAUCGAGAAAAGCUGCAAUGGAAAUUGAAGAAAAUCGCUUGUCUUCAUAUUUGAUAAGAUAAUGACUUUUUUGGAAGUACCACAAUGAGAGGUGUACUGUGUACAUGUUUAACUCCGCCAUGCGUGACGGGAUUGCCUUAAUUUCACCGUUUGCUUUUUGCUUGUUUACAACCUGAGAGUAAUUAAAAAAAAAAAAAUGGUCGGCUCCCAAAAGGAAGAAGCCCAUUAAAUUCUCCGACCCUACUUCCGUAAAAGGCCACCCUGCGGUUAACCUUUGUUCGCAUGGCACCCUGCCUGGGUAGUUAGCGCUGUUGACCCAUAGAGCAAUGUCCUGGCCUUAAACCCCUCUGUGACUGACACGAGUUACAGAAAUACACCUGGUAUACUAAUAGAAAUACUGCCGUGCAGCCACGACCAACUCAGCAGCUACAAGACAGCCUUUGUUUUUACUCUCGUUUGUUGGGAUGGGUUCAACUUUGAAAGAUGAAUUUUUAAACUGACUAAUAACAGUAGUUUGAAAUACUUUUUAGUUGCAAGUAUUCGACACUCAAAACCCAAUGUGAGUAUUCCUUCCAGAAUGAAAGAGGGGCUUAACUCCAAUGAUAUCACAAACCAUACUAAAACCAUUUAACCAACCAUAACUGAAAUCACCACUGUUGUACACACAGAUGGCAACAAUAACUUUGCCCUCUAUUUGUGAUUCUUGGUGACAUCUGGGGAAUCUCAACGCCUGUAGGCUUUUGUAACAGUGUCCUGCUGAUUUGUAGAUAUUUGCAUCGACAGCCAUGCCACAAGUAGCUAGCACGAUCAUACCCUAUUAAUUAUCUUUUUCGAUGGGUAACUUUUUCAAAAGUACAUUUGAUGCUAACUGAUAUAUAAUUCCACAAACUGAUCAAACUAGUGUUGACGUAAUACCCGUCAAAGGUAUUCAUCCACUGGGAAACAUAGUUAGUCUCACAGCAAUCAAUCCCACUCGAGGACAUUCAGGGGAUUACUAAAGGUACUAGGAUCAAUUGUCUGGGAAUGUAUGUACCACAUUUUGAGCCAAUCCAUGAUGUAGAUGUUAAGAUAACUCCCUCAUUUUGAAGUGAUCACAUCGACCUGCCAGUGACACUGAAGGACAUGUCGAGAAAUCUCCACUGUCAAUAGGAUUUUUCCUCUGGGAACAAUGACUGUGUGGAGAGGCAAUCCAUCCCAUAGUCAUUGACGUAUGUCAGUUUGGACCAAAGCAGUGAACCAACAGACUACGUCACUACCAUCCCCAGACCCAUUUAGCCUCUUCACCACAGCGGAUAAUGUAAGGUCGUCCAUCUUUACAUAAACGUAGCAGCAAGGUUGCACGCAUCCUACAUAAAAAGAGACAGUAAUAAUAAAAUCCAGGGCGGCAAAAUGCCAAGCAGAAAGAGGUAGUUCCAAAACUAGAGUGAAAUGCAGUUGGCUUUCACUCACUAGAAUGCACCCUAAGCCCGGCAAGGCGAGUUUAUUGGUAUAGCACGUUUCAAUACGGCAAGUGCUUCACAUAAAACUAUCAAAACCUAAGGCACAAGUAAGGGAAAACAAUGUAAAAACCAUUAAGCAUUAACUGAAAACAGACAACACAAUAAAAUUUAAAAUAGAAUAAAAGUUGCAGUGUAGUUUAUGAAAUAAACAGUAAAAAGCUCUUCCUCUUCAUCCUUCAAUUUGGUUAAAUUAAAAGCAGCAGCAAACACAAAUGUCUUCCGUCUUAAUAUGAAGCAGACCUGCAGCUUUCUGGAAGUGAAUUCCAGAUAUUUAGAGUGUAAAAACUGAACGCUGCUUCUCCCUCUUUGGUUCCCACUGUGGGAAGCGAAAGGAGACCCGUCCCACAGAGCCAACGCAGGAGGUCCCGCUCACAAACCCAACUCUGUUUCUCUCAGUGGCAAUAUGCAUACAAUUGAGUGAUAUCUUGUUAAGAGAUGUUCAAAACAAUACGUUACUGACACUUCAUUAGAAUUCUUUGUUUGCCACCUCAAGGUGAGCAUUAGGAAAUGAAAUAAUUAUCAUUAUGCAGUGGGCAGAAAGGAGCUGUUAUUGUCUCGAGAAAGACAACCUUUUGUUUGUUUAUCUGUUGUGGAUGGACAAGAGUGUAGACUAAUCGUUUUUCAUAGUCUGUAUCAUGACCUGUCCCUGGGACAUCCAUUUAUAUUUCUGUCUAUCUAUUUACCAACUGUGGCGAUAAAAAUAACUGUAGGAAUCUUAAUCAACAUAACACGCUCCGAUGAAUAAAAACAUUAUUCUUGACUUGAUGACCCUGAGUGUUUUUUUUACUGUUAACUUUGGGUAAAGAUAAAGUUUUUUAAACAGAAAAAAUAAGUUGUAAAUCAGAAGCCCCAUCCCCCGAUCCCCCACCUGCCCUCUAGUGCAUACAGUCUGAUUAUGUAAAAUAUAUGCUGUUUACUAUUCAGCAGAGUUAUGCUUUGGGCCUCACCUACUUGAUCUGCCUUGUCUAUCACGCUCUCUACUGAAAGAUUUAUUAAAAGAAUAAUAGAUUGUUCAUCAAACACGAGGUGUCAGUUUUUUGUGUUUAAUCAUAAGGUGUGAAAGCUGUGCUCAAUCACAGGCCAUUCCUUAACCUCUUGCCGCUGAAUGUGGUUGAGCUUGUUUUUGCUGACACAUCGAAGGUCAAUCCACAACCAAUUGUUGAGAAUUGAAAAAUGGGUCCAUAAACUAAGUAACUGUGAUACUAUUGUGUGUGUGUGUGUGUGUGUGUGUGUGUGUGUGUGUGUGUUUUGGCUUUGUAACUUAUUGUGAACAUGUUGCUCGGUAGAUGGCUAGUGCCAAAUAUUUAGUCACAACGUCUGCUCUUCCAUUAAAGACUAGUAGUUCAAAUAGAUUUAUCAAUUUCACAAAGGGCUGUGAGCUACGUGGGGCUGAAAGAACCCACCUACUUUGUGUAAUUUAUUCAUCCCUCGUACAACUAUUGACAUGUAAAAUGAUGAACGCUUCCAAUGUGAUUGUGCAAUAGGAACAAAUGGAAAAGUUCGAGUUCGUGCCCUGUUUCCCGAGAUGUCGGUCGUUGUUUGGAGACUUCCCUGUGGAUACCUACGAGAGACUUUUCCCUUUGGAUUAUUGAGAGUUUCCUUUUUUCCGUUGAACUGUGAGUGCCCAUGGACUAAGGGAUUUUGAGUUGUUUCUUUUGUUUUCCCCUGCCAAUUAAGGAGGCAGUUUUUUUUUGUUUGUUCCUCGGAACCUUACGCUCUUUAAUUCUUGUGAAAGAAUAAACUACGCCGUGUUUUUGGCUGAACGUAAACUCUGUCUGGUGUCGUGCACUCGGGGACGAAGACAAACCAUAACAAGGAGGCCCUUAAAGUACCGUUCUUUACUGUUCCUCCAGCCAGGUCGGACUGUAAAUCAAGACAACAAGAUUCAUACAAUUCUCUCCAGUCCCUAAAAGAUUUAGUAUUUGUUCUUUGUGGCACAUUUUUUUAGCUAUUUUAUAUUGUCAACAAUUUCCAAUGACAUAACACAACGGGAAGGAGAACAAUCUAAAUAUUGAGAAGCUGGUAUCAGACAGUACAAAAGUAUUCUGACCAGCCAUCUGUUGAUAAAGGAGAGACACAAGACUUCAACAACAAAGGAAAAUAAAAUGACUCCUGCAUCGUCUUUGAAGCUUACACGAACACCUAUACCUCCGGCUGUUGAGCGUUUCUUUUUUUCUUUCUCUCUUGCGACUGCAUUUAAUAACAUUUGAAACUGUGGCUUGACUCACCAAGCCCACAUAUCUACCUGUGAGGAAUGAGUCAUUUCUCAGUAAUACACGAAACACCAACUCAUGCACAAGUCACUGUCUCAUUAAUCCAUUUUCUGGACAUACUGCAUGCCUUCGAAAUACUGAUACUGAUAUGUGAAAAUGAAUUUACAUUGGCCUAAGAUACAGUACAUUGUUAUUGGAGCUAGAAGAGUGGAUAAUUGUUGUCUGGAUAUGGGUUGCUUUAUCGUUCGGUCUCUUUUUUCACAAUGAGACAACAAAGUCGGUCUAAUGGUGCAUAUUGUAUUCAUGAUUGAAUGUAUUUCAUUAACUUAUAUAACAUUAAUACAAGAGUGCUUUGCUCAAUGAAACUCAUAUAAAAAGGGUCUCAGUGACAGGAACAAAAAAAAAGGAUUCAGGUGGUUCAACGCAAGUGUAGUACAGAUACCAACUUAGAAUGUCCAGGGUAUUUUGUUCACUUUUUUCACUAUGUGAAACACUAUGUGUUUUUAAACCCAAAUUAGCAAAAUAUAUAGAUAUGCUAAACUAUACUAUAAUUAAGGUUUUACGCCUUCUCUCUAAAAGGACCAUUUUAUAAAUACAGUUUGUACCGACAUUGUUAUCUUACAUAAUUGUUCAUGAGUCAGUCACAUGUCCGCUUUUAAACCACAUCAUGUCAAUAAUUUAAUUUAAAUUUUUACAGUUAUGGUUAUUUAGAAUCUUUAGAUUCUCAUUAAUUUUAAAAGGAUGUUGUUAGGGGGGGCAGGGCCGAAACACAGGUGCACUCCUCAGAGUCCAGAUCCUCUCUUGCCGUUUUGGGCGGUUGAAUUAAUACAGCCCAUAGUUUGUCUAGACACCCGGCUAGACACUAGGAAUCUAAGGUGUCGUAACACACACUUCUCCAAUAACUGGCGGUGUAGGGAAACAUUGAAUAACACCACCGAUACAACUGGCCAAAAACUUAGAUCAAACUCACCUAACGGUCCGUCAGCCUAGCAGCGGCUGAGUUGCAGAGGGGUACGGCAUUGUGUGUAGUUAAAUUAGUUGUUCUGGGUUAACCCAUUUUACAAAACAAGACGGAUGGACAGAUGCACUUACACGUUCACAAAAGUACGAGCAGGCGACUGCACGGUCAUCCUGGCGGAGCAAACAACUAAAUCAAAGUUUCGCUUGAGCUUAUUUUGCCCUCUUCCAUCAAUAAAACCAAUCCAGGAUACGUUCUGUCUCCACUACCUGCAGGCAGACACAAUCUGUAUGCUGACCACCGUUGAAUGCUGACAGGUGUCAACAUCCGCUGGCUUGACAUUUCUGUCAUUAAGAAGCAGCUGUUCCUUUUCACAGCCCCAACAAAGCUCGCCAGCAAGCUCUGAUUCCUUCUCUUUAAAGUAACCAACGCAUCCCUUGGUAGUUUAAUCUUCACACAUAAUCCAAAAUUGAAACUGAAGCCUCAGGUGUAGAGAGAGGGAACUCAACAGUAACUGUAGACGUUUGACUGGUACUGGGAGUAGAAGAUGGAAGCCAUCCGUUUCAUGCUGUAACCACAAGUGAAUUGCACUCCCAAUUUGGAUUUGGAAAUUAAAAAGAGAAUUUAUUCUGAAAUUCAAUCAAAUAGUCCACCGAAGCAAGGGGGUGUCAGUGUGUAAAAGGAGAAAGCUAAAGCUCUUUUGUGUAGCUAAAAGUGACUCAGACUCCAGAUUGCACAUUGUUAUCUAUAAGUGACUAUAAGUGAGGAUAGAAAGGGUAGAUCAAUAGUUAUAAAUAUCUGGGUCAAACUGUUUACUUUAGUAAAGAGGAUAAAUUUAAGAAUUCUGAAUGCUGGUAUAGAAGGUAGGCAGGGUCACAGUCUACACACGCAGACAUGCAGCAGGUAACAGCACAGUCUCCUGAGGCAGCGCUACACUUCUCUGCUGCUUGUCUGACACACCCCUCUCGAGACAAACAUAGCGUGGCCUGCGCUUGUUUUCUGUAAUAUACGGAACGAUACCGUUGUCCUUGUGCAUCACUGAGCCUCUCUGGGCAGGAGGGGCCGGACGUCUUCUUUUCUCUCUGAGCUUUUAGCCUCUUCACAUGAGUGUAAACAGCGCACAGCAGGUACAGUGAACAUCAUAUCGCUCUUGACCACACAAGUACUCCCUCUUACAUUUGUGUUGUACCACAUGGGGGGCUGUAACCUGAUGCCUUCAUGUGUCAAACACAAUGCUGUUGAUGUGCACCGUAAUCGUGAAAGUAUAGAAAAAAAAUGGGAUACGUCCUGUGUAAUCAGGAAAGAAAUGAGGAGCAUUGAAUGAAGAAAUCCCGAGACGUUGAACACUGAUGCAACAUUGUUUGUGCUGCACCACCAAGGAAAAUGGAAAGCUUGGUUGCAUUUGGAGAUGAACCGAUAUUGGAUAUUAUAUUUCAUUUCAAAAAGAAGAAAGCAAUGUUUUAGUCAAGACCAAUGUACACAUACAAGAAUGAUCCAAGUCACCUCCAGAGAGUGAGGCAUAAAGCAUAAUGACUGGUUUAAAAACAACGAGGUUUAAAAACAACCCAAUACAAUAUAAAAACAUUUAAUGAUUUAAUGUUUUUCACACCAGCCACAACGACAAAUCAGGCCAAUGGCCCCUUACUAAUUUUCUAUCGCCCUACUUCUGCUACACUUGCUGACAAAGCAACCAUUUACAAAUGCUACCUGACAAUUUUAUCUCAGCUACACACCUGUAAAAUGUUGGUCCUGCAUCUGACACGGUGUUGAGAAUACCAAAUGGACAGAAUGGUUCCACAGAAAUACAAACACCAGGCAACUGCAGUAGCUCCCGCCACAAUCUUGUGUCUCCAGCACCACAUUUUGCCAUGAUGACACAAAAGCCGCUUUCACACACAUAAUCUUGUAUACUACCGUAAAGGAGAUCCUCCGUUACACCUGCUUUGUUUUCUCUGAGUGUACUGAACAAACAGUUGCAUUAUGUGUGUGAUUCCGGAUAGCACUCCAAAAUCAAAAGCGGUAGGGUGUUUAACACAGCAGCGUUGGCGUUCGGCCGCGCCGGCUCCUUUUCAUAAAGACGUCAGCUUGGCUCGGUGACUACCUACGCAGCCUGCUCAGCGGCAGAAACAACUCCUCCCUCCCAUUGUGCCUGAAUAACGGAGGAAAUAUUCUGCCUUGCACAGGCAGUGUGAGAGGUACUAGCACCUCACCAUGUGAAAAGAAUACCAGCGCCGCUCUCACGGUUGAUAACACAUUGUUUACAACGCCAAGGGUACCUUCAACACCUGCUUGCACUGUUUUCUACAGUUUCAUGUUUCUGUGAAGCACCUUUUAAUAUAGUAUUCUCCAUGGGUAUUUAAAAGGUGGAGAAUUAAUCUUUUUAUUGGCUUGUUGCAGUGAUUCAGAAUGCUGCAGCACGUGUAUUAACAAGAACUAAGAAAAGGGAUCAUAUCACUCCUGUAUUAACUUCUCUGCACUGGCUCCCUGUUAAAUCAAGAAUAGAUUUUAAGGUACUUCUCCUCACCUACAAGGCACUUGCUGGUGAGGCACCGUUGUAUCUUCAAGAGCUUGUAACACCGUAUUGCCCUACAAGGCAACUGCGCUCCAUAGAUGCUGGGUUACUUGUUGUUCCUAUGGUUUUAAAAAGUAGGCUGGGGGCCAGAGCCUUCAGUUAUCAAGCUCCUCUUUUGUGG